RNAcentral lists this long non-coding RNA (3352 nucleotides) under Chinchilla lanigera (long-tailed chinchilla). RNAcentral's name for it is "lncRNA (ENSCLAG00000025691.1)". The record is from RNAcentral. Lineage: Eukaryota; Metazoa; Chordata; Mammalia; Rodentia; Chinchillidae.
UAAUUCAUUACUAAGUGAUACCAGUUUUGCUGCUAAGUAUGACUAAGUACCUAGUCUUGGCAAUAAAGAUAAUGUCAGGUUUUCACUGCAACACUAGAGAAAAAAUGAGGUAUAUAUUAGAGACUAGUGCAAUAUAUUUGGAUUUAUCAUGGAAACGGAGAGCGUAAUUAGGCUGGCAAUUCAUUCUAGUUUCCCUGGGAUAGCCCCAAUUUAUGCAUAUGGUCCUGUUUAAUUAUUAAUUACAUUCUCUGAUGUGUCUCCUGCUUUGCAGGAUAAAUGAUAUGGUCACCAUAGUGAUAAAAGCCCAAACAGCUGAGAUGCUGACCGAGAGUACUACUUCAAACCUGGGGACAGCACAUUCCCUCUCACCAGGAACAGGACAUGGCUUGUAUGGAAACAAAUCUCAUACAAACAUUGUGCCCAGUGUUCCUGCUUGCCCUGCAGCCUAACGCCUCAUGGUCACAGCUCUAGCUGCUGCUUCCUGGGAAGACUGCUUUCAGAAUUCUGCUGUUAUGGUUUAGAUCUGAAAUGUCCCCUAGUGGUCUCAUGUGUUCAGAGGUGGGGCUUUUGGAAGAUGAUUGGAUGAAGGGAGUACUGCUCUCAUCAGUGGAUUCAUCCUUGGGUGAGUUCUAGUGCUGCUAGGAGGUGGGACCUGAUUGGAAGCCAGUCAGGGGAUGUGACUGGAAGGGUGGAUUUUGGUCCUGGUUUUCCCUGCUCCCUCUGCUUCCUGGCUACUAUGGGACAAGCAGCUUUUUUUCUGCCAGGAAGAAAGCCCUUCUCCCAUGCUUUUCUGCCUUGGAAUCGGCCAACCUUCGACUGAACUCCCAGGAAACUGUAAGCCAAAUAAAUUAUCUUCCUUUAAGUUGUAGGUAUUGGGUAUUGUGUCUCAGCUAGAAGAAAACUGACUAGCACUCUGCUUAAGAUAUGUGCUUGCUGUGCCUUUUUGUACUUUCUCAAUUUGGUGCAUAUACAGUGGACCCUCGGAAAUUAUGUUGAUGGAAAUUAUGUUCCUAGAGCACUUGUAAAUUGUAAAAAACUGAGUUUCAGGUAAGUUCAGAAGAAUGCCUGUAAACGCUUAUUUUAGUAGUUUAAACCCUAAAUAUGGGGGCUGGGGAUUUAGCUCAGCGGCAAAAGCGCCUGCCUGGCAAGUGCAAGGUCGUGAGUUCGGUUCCCGGUACCGGAGAAAAACCAAAAAAAAAAAAAAAAAAAAAAAAAACCCUAAAUAUGCUAUGUCGUUGCAGUUAUGUAAUUUAACUUAAUAAAGCACUGUAUUAAUAAAGCCAUAGAAGGUGCAAGGGUGUUUUGGUGGCAUUUUAGGGAUGUUCUUUAAAAAGAGCAAAACCAAGAACAUGAGAGAUAGCUAUAGGCAUUACAGCAACCUGUUGUGAUACAUUGGCCAGAGCUGAUGCAUCCAUCAGAGAUGGGUUACAUGGCAGCAGCCAAUCAGGAGCAUGGAGAACUGAAUAACGCUCUCGGAUUGGCUCCUUGCAACCCCAUUCCCCAAAAAACAAUUGUGGAGGAUAGUUGCGGUUUCUGAGAAAUUGGGAGAGUCUGUGCAAACAAUUAUUAGAUUGUAAAGAAAAAUCUGCAAACAAUGAGGCUGUGAACGAUGAGGCUGCCAACUUUGAACUAUAACUUCUUGGGGGGUAUACUGUAAUUCUUUGUAUUUUAAAUUUUUAGUAAUAUUUGGAGGCAAAACUCAAUGACUUUGGCAUAACAGGAAUAUCUGAAGGGCAAAUUUUACUCUAAGCAGAGAUGUUUAAUCAUGCUCCCUGCCUGAGCACCCCAUUAUGUAAGUCAUCCGACACUGUUUAACCUCUCAUUUUCCCUCCUCUUCUUUACUACUCUCUUCAGCCUAAUUUUACCUUUCAAGCUCUGCUAUGGGACACUGUCACAGCCAACAGCUCAAUGAACACAUUGAAUUAUAUUCCUCUAGAAUAGCUAGUAAGAUGAAAAGGAAAUUAAAAUUUGUUUCCUUUAUCAAGACCGGGGAGUCAGGAUGAGAAACUUGAAUCUCAAGGGUCAUUUUACCAUGCAGGAGACAGCACUUUGGAAGGCAAAUUUGUGGACAAGAAAAUGAGUUGAUCCAAGUGUCUUUGAAUUAAAAGAAAUCAAACAUCGUACAGAAGAUGAAAUGUUUUCUAUAAAGAACUAGCUUACCUUUUAAAUGUGAAGUUGACCAAUAUAGUGUUUGUGACAACAUUUUCUUUCCUCCUGGAAUGUUUACAUGGUAAAUUUGACGCAUGAAGCUGGAGUAGCCAUAUAGCUGUGUGUAUGUGUCGUGUUGUGCAGGGCUGAGCACUGGGAAUGCUAAAAAGUGUGAAGCGUCAGUGCAUUCAAUUUGUGCUGCCAAACAAGCGCUACCUCCAAAUAGUCCCCACACCUGGAUGGAAUUAAUCCCGGUUCCCUCCUUGUGAUGGGAGAGAAAUCAUGCGCUUAAGCUGUAUCACGUGUCUCGCAAAGGUUCCAGACAGACACCAGCCUGGAGAGAGAAACGUGGAUAUUUUCAGUGACUGUUGGUUAAAGGGUAACAUUUCCUUAGUUUCAUAGAGCAGAAUAAAGGACUUUUUGGAGGGCUGCUUUAAAGGAAAAUUUGAAGGAGCCACUUCUGUGGUAAUUCACAGCUGGCAGAGGAAGACACCAGCAUGUAGAAAUCUUUCCUCUGAUCACUUAGUCUGUUAGAGACAGUCUCAGCUUGACUCUGUACACAGGUGGUUUACUUCAAAGGAGGAAGAACAGCUUCAGAAGGAAUCCAUGGCAUAGGUGCUUAAGGGCUUUCUGGACAUCUGAAAUGCACAUGCAAAAUACUGAGUAUUGGUGCAUUUCCCAAGGGUUCAUAGCUUUCCUUGGGUUCUCAAAAAAGUGAGAAGCUCAGAAAAUUUUAGGCUGUGCCUACUGCCUUGCAUCAACAUAAAAACAGUGAGUCCCUAACUUACAAACAUUUGCGCUGUGAACUUCCACAGGUGUACUGUAUACGACUUUGUCAGACUUGGAAGGAAUCCUUCUUACGAAUGUUCUCCUGGAACAGAACUCGUCUGUAAGUUGGUGACUUACUGUAGACUGGUAGUGACCUCAGGUUUUAAAGAACUACCCAGCUGUGUGUGUGUGUGUGUGUGUGUGUGUGUGUGUGUGUGUGCCAAAGUUCCAGCCAAGAUAUAAAAGGAAAAAAACCACAUAUCCAUAACUAAAUGGCACCAAAGAAACCAAAACAAAAAUAGACCCGAGGAAAGCCUGACCACUGUAGUCAGAUAGCUGGGAAAGAGUGAUCCAGAAAGAAAGAGCCAUUUUGCCUAUAAAGACUUUACUCCAGCUCAACACCAGGACAAAGCUUCUCCCCUCUGUCUCUUCAGUG